AGACCCCUCUUCAUCUCAGACAUUGAUCUCAAAGGUUAGUGAAGUUAUGAGCUUCAAACAUGAAUCCAGAAGUACAGGCAACAUUCUAGGAGAUACUUUUAAAUGACUCAGACCCAGAGCUGCCUGUUGGUUUCAUGAGUUUAUAUAUUAUAUUAUGUAUUAUAUAUAUAUUAUAAUAUAUAUUAUUUAGAGCCUCUCAGAAAGUAGCAGCGCCAUGUCGAAUGAAAAAAAUGUGACAGCGAAUAGGAAGCGAGUAAGAACUGGGUCAGAGGCUCGGUACAGUAUGACUCAGCAUUAUCUCACACACACACACACACUCCACAAAGCUCCAUGUGGAGCCUCCCUCUGACAUGCUGAGCUCUCCUUUGUUCCUGUAGCUCCUCCCACGCUGACACACAGGAGCAUCACCUGCUCUGCAUGACCACUGGAGCUCUCUAGGCCACGCCCAUGUGGAGCUCUCUAGGCCACGCCCACUUGGUCGAUUCCCUCGCUUGGGGACUUUAAAUUGCUUUAAUUGCUUCUCUGGGGUGGCAUCAAUCACCACCUCAACAGGCCAAUCCGACUGCACCUGGGUGCCAGAAGGCGAGCUGGCCAAUCGGCUGAGUGGGCCUGGUUAAAAAGACAGAAGACUGAAGAGUUAGGUGUGGUUUUUGAUUGUGUAAAUGUGUACACUGACACUGCAAGAGGUGGAGUUUGUGGUGAGAGGUUGUGGACAGUAGGUAAGUUUGGGGUACCCUGUACAUGUAUGCACUCAUGUAGGUACUUUGUGUCUGGAAACACUCGGCUAUUGGUUGUUGCUGCCUCUGUAUUGUUUUCACCGAACUUUGUUAGAGAAGCAAGUGAAGCCAUUUUGUCUUUCUUUUCAGAGAGGUAGAAGCCAGGCCGAGUUUUGAUAUCUUGAAUUUAUUGCUUUGGCACAACCACAACUGUCCCAAUCUCUCCCACGUCAUUGAACCUUUGUCUUGUGUGUUGGAAAUAAAUAUUAUUUGAACACUUUA
This is a long non-coding RNA of Pseudoliparis swirei, 998 nucleotides long. RefSeq lists it as uncharacterized. The transcript is spliced from 2 exons. NCBI's taxonomy places the organism in Eukaryota, Metazoa, Chordata, Actinopteri, Perciformes, Liparidae. The record is from RefSeq and is a predicted model, not a curated record.